Molecule: long non-coding RNA, 716 nt
Filed under: Daucus carota (carrot)
Lineage: Eukaryota; Viridiplantae; Streptophyta; Magnoliopsida; Apiales; Apiaceae
Description: long non-coding RNA (DCAR_LNC003835)
Source: RNAcentral
CAUAAUACAUAAGUACAUUUUGGCAUCCUGUUUAAAUUUACUCAAACACAGUGAUACAUCUUUUUCCUCCCUCCGGCAAAUACCAGGCUUCUCCAUCGAGGUAUCGACUGAUUUUUUCACUCUAAAUCUUCAAUUUCAUAAUAUGAUUCAUCUCCAAAAUUCUCUAUUAAAAAUUCGCAAUUUGAAAAAGAAAAAACAGAGCUUUUAAGCUGUUCGAUAAAAUGUCACAGUGAAUUUUGUUGGAUAUAGUUUGAUAUAAAUCAAGCGUUUUUUUAAUUUCAUCAACAUAUGUUAAAAGCGUGACACACCAUAGUCUACAUCCUGUAUCCGCCACUGGAUUAGAGGACAGGAGAUAACGACGUGUAGCUUUUACAGGCAUGAAUGAUCAGGCCCGAUACAAGUCAUUCUAGAUUUUAGAACAAGUGGCCACUGCUGCGUGCCUGCGUCCAUGCGAAGUGGUAGCAAUGAACCAAAUGCUUGUCAAGACUGAAGAUACUAUGGGAAUAAAUUGCAAAUAAUUUGAGUUGCAUAGAAAUUGAAAGGAACUGGAGUUGAUAAUAUUGAAAUGAGCAAGUUGAUUAAAGAUGGUCAUCUUGAAAAUAGCUUUUCAGUUAGAGGUAUUUCAGGCGCAAUUUGAGCUCGGAAACUUGAGCCUACAUUUUCAGUCAAAUUGUUCGGCGCAUCAUUUAGCAGGGGAAAAAAAAAAUUGUUCGGCG